UUGUAGCCCUGAUAGCAACGAAAAUCCUUGUUUGCCGGGUUUCGGCAAGCAAGAUUGUAGUGUAUAGCAGGUGCUGUG
This 78-nucleotide small RNA is filed under the name Flavobacterium crassostreae. RNAcentral's name for it is "Flavo-1 RNA". It matches the Rfam family "Flavo-1 RNA". Lineage: Bacteria; Pseudomonadati; Bacteroidota; Flavobacteriia; Flavobacteriales; Flavobacteriaceae. The record is from Rfam by way of RNAcentral.